GACGAACGCUGGCGGCGUGCUUAACACAUGCAAGUCGAGCGGUAAGGCCCUUUCGGGGGUACACGAGCGGCGAACGGGUGAGUAACACGUGGGUGACCUGCCCUCAGCUCUGGGAUAAGCCUGGGAAACCGGGUCUAAUACCGGAUAUGACUCCAUGACGCAUGUUGUGGGGUGGAAAGCCUUGUGCGGCUGAGGAUGGGCCCGCGGCCUAUCAGCUUGUUGGUGGGGUGAGGCCUACCAAGGCGACGACGGGUAGCCGGCCUGAGAGGGCGACCGGCCACACUGGGACUGAGACACGGGCCCAGACUCCUACGGGAGGCAGCAGUGGGGAAUCUUGCGCAAGUGGGCGAAAGCCUGACGCAGCGACGCCGCGUGAGGGAUGACGGCCU
This 389-nucleotide ribosomal RNA is filed under the name uncultured bacterium. Its description in RNAcentral is "bacterial SSU rRNA". It matches the Rfam family "Bacterial small subunit ribosomal RNA", at positions 28 to 417 of the family's 1533-position model. The record is from RNAcentral.